UGCUCCUACGGGAGGCAGCAGUGGGGAAUAUUGGACAAUGGGGGGAACCCUGAUCCAGCGACGCCGCGUGAGUGAAGAAGUAUUUCGGUAUGUAAAGCUCUAUCAGCAGGGAAGAAAAUGACGGUACCUGACUAAGAAGCCCCGGCUAACUACGUGCCAGCAGCCGCGGUAAUACGUAGGGGGCAAGCGUUAUCCGGAUUUAUUGGGCGUAAAGCGAGUGCAGGCGGUUCAAUAAGGCUGGUGUG
Molecule: ribosomal RNA, 245 nt
Filed under: uncultured bacterium
Lineage: Bacteria
Description: partial 16S ribosomal RNA
Rfam family: Bacterial small subunit ribosomal RNA
Source: RNAcentral